CCAAUAGCGUAUAUUAAAGUUGUUGCAGUUAAAAAGCUCGUAGUUGAAUUUCGGAAUCUGUCCGUUGGUCGGGCUUAACUGUCCGUACUGAUGUGAUGGGUUCUUACCUUUUGAAUAACCAGCAUGCCAUUAAUUUGGUGUGUUGGGGACGCAGGACUAUUACCUUGACAAAAUUAGAGUGCUCAAAGCAGGCUAGCGCCUGAAUUCAUUAGCAUGGAAUAAUAAAAUAGGACGGCAUGGUUCUAUUUUGUUGGUUUCUAGGAUCACCGUAAUGAUUAAUAGGGAUAGUUGGGGGCAUUAGUAUUCAAUUGUCAGAGGUGAAAUUCUUGGAUUUAUUGAAGACUAACUUCUGCGAAAGCAUUUGCCAAGGAUGUUUUCAUUAAUCAAGGACGAAAGUUAGGGGAUCGAAGACGAUCAGAUACCGUCGUAGUCUUAACCAUAAACUAUGCCGACUAGGGAUCGGACGAUGUUAAUUUUAUAAUGACUCGUUCGGCGCCUUACG
RNAcentral lists this ribosomal RNA (502 nucleotides) under uncultured Glomeromycotina. RNAcentral's name for it is "partial small subunit ribosomal RNA". It matches the Rfam family "Eukaryotic small subunit ribosomal RNA", at positions 591 to 1092 of the family's 1831-position model. Lineage: Eukaryota; Fungi; Glomeromycota. The record is from RNAcentral.